GACAGAGGAUGCAAGCGUUAUCCGGAAUGAUUGGGCGUAAAGCGUCUGUAGGUGGCUUUUCAAGUCCGCCGUCAAAUCCCAGGGCUCAACCCUGGACAGGCGGUGGAAACUACCAAGCUGGAGUAUGGUAGGGGCAGAGGGAAUUUCCGGUGGAGCGGUGAAAUGCAUUGAGAUCGGAAAGAACACCAACGGCGAAAGCGCUCUGCUGGGCCGAAACUGACACUGAGAGACGAAAGCUAGGGGAGCAAAUGGG
This 253-nucleotide ribosomal RNA is filed under the name uncultured bacterium. RNAcentral describes it as "partial 16S ribosomal RNA". It matches the Rfam family "Bacterial small subunit ribosomal RNA", at positions 524 to 776 of the family's 1533-position model. The record is from RNAcentral.